AUUGAACGCUGGCGGCAGGCUUAACACAUGCAAGUCGAGCGAGCGGCGGACGGGUGAGUAAUUUCUGGGAAACUGCCUGAUGGAGGGGGAUAACUACUGGAAACGGUAGCUAAUACCGCAUACCAUCAGAUGUUCCCAGCUGGGAUUAGCUAGUAGGUGGGGAAAUGGCGCACCUAGGCGACGAUCCCUAGCUGGUCUGAGAGGAUGACCAGCAAAACUGGAACGGAGACACGGUCCAGACUCCUAAGGGAGGAAGCAGUGGGGAAUAUUGCACAAUGGGCGAAAGCCUGAUGCAGCCAUGCCGCGUGUGGGAAGAAGGCCUUCGGGUUGUAAAGCACUUUCAGCGAGGAGGCGUUACUCGCAGAAGAAGCACCGGCUAACUACGUGCCAGCAGCCGCGGUAAUAC
This 406-nucleotide ribosomal RNA is filed under the name uncultured bacterium. RNAcentral's name for it is "partial 16S ribosomal RNA". It matches the Rfam family "Bacterial small subunit ribosomal RNA", at positions 30 to 526 of the family's 1533-position model. The record is from RNAcentral.